AGACCAUGAUGUGGGCAACGUCGAAGUAAGUCCUGAUGUCUAUCCUAAGCUUCAUAUAAUAUCUCACUAGCAAACUAUAUGAACAAAGUGAUAUCAUUCCUUAUUUU
RNAcentral lists this small nucleolar RNA (107 nucleotides) under Theobroma cacao (cacao). Its description in RNAcentral is "Plant small nucleolar RNA R71". It matches the Rfam family "Plant small nucleolar RNA R71". Rfam says of the family: R71 is a member of the C/D box family of snoRNAs containing the C (UGAUGA) and D (CUGA) box motifs. Multiple nearly identical copies of this snoRNA have been identified in Arabidopsis, and it is thought to function as a 2'-O-ribose methylation guide for 18S ribosomal RNA. The record is from Rfam by way of RNAcentral. Lineage: Eukaryota; Viridiplantae; Streptophyta; Magnoliopsida; Malvales; Malvaceae.